Molecule: ribosomal RNA, 689 nt
Filed under: uncultured Bacteroidales bacterium
Lineage: Bacteria; Pseudomonadati; Bacteroidota; Bacteroidia; Bacteroidales
Description: bacterial SSU rRNA
Rfam family: Bacterial small subunit ribosomal RNA
Source: RNAcentral
AACGCUAGCUACAGGCUUAACACAUGCAAGUCGAGGGGUUUCAAAGGAGCUUGCUCCUGCGGAACGACCGGCGCACGGGUGAGUAACGCGUAUCCAACCUGCCCUUCAUAUUGGUAUAGCCUCCCGAAAGGGAGAUUAAUCCCGAAUGCCAUAUCAUAGUUGCCUGACGAUGAUAUGAAAGCUCCGGCGAUGAAGGAUGGGGAUGCGUUCCAUUAGGUAGUAGGCGGGGUAACGGCCCACCUAGCCGACGAUGGAUAGGGGUUCUGAGAGGAAGGUCCCCCACACUGGAACUGAGACACGGUCCAGACUCCUACGGGAGGCAGCAGUGAGGAAUAUUGGUCAAUGGGCGCAAGCCUGAACCAGCCAAGUAGCGUGAAGGAAGACUGCCCUAUGGGUUGUAAACUUCUUUUAUACGGGAACAACCACAGGUACGUGUACCUGUCUGCGUGUACCGUAUGAAUAAGCAUCGGCUAACUCCGUGCCAGCAGCCGCGGUAAUACGGAGGAUGCGAGCGUUAUCCGGAUUUAUUGGGUUUAAAGGGAGCGUAGGUGGUUUGUUAAGCCAGCUGUGAAAUACUGUAGCUCAACUACAGCCGUGCAGUUGGAACUGGCAGACUUGAGUGCACAAGAGGAAGGUGGAAUUCAUGGUGUAGCGGUGAAAUGUUUAGAUAUCACGAAGAACUCCGAUUG